UCGGAGGAGUCUCUUGCACCUGGCCUCGGACGUUGGUGAAUCUGCGAACCGUCCCGGGGUAUAGCAUGGAGCCUCCGAAGGCGUGGCGCUGUUCGCCCUCGUCUCUGAUCAGGACGGUGACCACGGCGAGCUCGGAGCUGACCCGGAAAUUCUGGACGUCCCCCAGCCCGCAGAGGCCGUUCCGCAUCUGCGACCACGACAGGACCACCCGGACAGGGGUGACGGCCGGCAGCCUGAGAGAGCUCAUCAACAAGGCCUUGGACGUCCUGCUCCUCACGGGAGUGGUCACCCUGGUCCUGGAGGAAGAUGGCACCGCCGUCGACAACGAAGACUUCUUCCAGCACUUGGACGACGACACCAGCUUCAUGGUGCUGCAGAAGGGCCAACGAUGGAAGCCUCCCAAGAGGGGGAUGGUUUCCUGUUCCCUGAUCCAGAAACCCAGGAACGCCAGAGACAUCGCCCGCAUCACCUUCGAUAUCUACAAGCUCAACCCCAGGGAUCUGUUUGGCUCACUCAACGUUCGCGCUACUUUCUAUGGACUGUACUCCAUGACCUUCGAUGUCAAGUGUCUCGGGCCAAAGAAGGUUCUGAGGUCUGAUCCCUCUCAGCCCAAGGAGCGACACACUGGAUCUUGACCGUGCUCUAUCCUGAUGAGGCAACCAGCCUGGUGAACACUGACCCCCAGCAGGGAAUACGCAGGAAGUAAUUACGUUGGGAUCGGGAAGAAUCAGAUAUCGGAUGAGAGCAAUUAACAGGCUGGGAUAUGAGAGUUUCAACUUCGCUGAGUGCUAUAGGAAUUCAGAUAACAUUAAAGGGGACUGUCUGUGCAACUCCUUCUGAUGUUUAUUCUGUGAGAAGUCUCCAGACACCAGCACACCGCCCCCACAUCAUCACUGAUGUUAUCCACGGGAACUGUGGCACGGACACUGAGGGAGCGUGCAAGUGGAAUAAAGACAGAGACACUAGGAGGCAGAAUCGUAAGUCUAAAUAGAUGGGGAGUUGUGAUAGCAACACACAGUGAAAGACUCCGUGGCCACUCA
Stegostoma tigrinum is the source of this 1040-nucleotide RNA transcript. It is a transcript of the gene named cell death inducing DFFA like effector b, with no coding region annotated. Lineage: Eukaryota; Metazoa; Chordata; Chondrichthyes; Orectolobiformes; Stegostomatidae. The record is from RefSeq and is a predicted model, not a curated record. The transcript is spliced from 6 exons.